This 212-nucleotide transfer-messenger RNA is filed under the name Balneolaceae bacterium. RNAcentral describes it as "partial transfer-messenger RNA". It matches the Rfam family "transfer-messenger RNA", at positions 156 to 374 of the family's 374-position model. Rfam says of the family: Bacterial tmRNA, also known as 10Sa RNA or SsrA, is named for its dual tRNA and mRNA-like properties. The record is from RNAcentral. Lineage: Bacteria; Pseudomonadati; Balneolota; Balneolia; Balneolales; Balneolaceae.
GCUUGCCUGUUAGUCCCAUCCGGAGCGUCGACUAAAACAGGAUUUUCCGAAGUGCGUGUUUGCCGCGCGGCUGGAGAACAUAAUGCAGAAUAGGGUGGUGUUGCUUUGCUGUUGAGCAUUGCAUUACCCGAAACCUUAAUCAACAGCUAAGCAUGUAGACGCUUGAUGGGUUGCCAUCUCGGACCGGGGUUCAACUCCCCGCACCUCCACUA